Molecule: non-coding RNA, 4574 nt
Organism: Taeniopygia guttata (zebra finch)
Lineage: Eukaryota; Metazoa; Chordata; Aves; Passeriformes; Estrildidae
Source: RefSeq, a predicted model, not a curated record
UUCUGUCUAUCUCGGCGCCUCUCACCAAGCCGCCCCCUCCCUUGCAUGUGACGCAGAUGUGCUCUGGGGCCGUCAGUGUGAAGAGACAGAGGGAAAAGGAGAUGAUUCAAGCUUCAUCAUGCAAGGAAAUAUAAUAUACACACACUAACAAGAGAAGCAUUUCCCUAUUUUCCCCAUCUCUCAUGGAAUGGUGGAUGUCUGGACAACUUCUGACUUCUGACUUCAUGCUCUUUAUGGGAAUCCUAACAAGAAAAUACAUGUACUUAUGCUCUUGGGGAUUUCUGACUGCCAUUUUAAUUUUAAAGUAACUUUAAUGACAAUGAAAUCUAUUUACAAUGCAUUUCAUUCUUUCACAUCUCCUAUCACACUCAGAUAAUGCAUUAAAAAGAAGCAAGCAAAAGUUACACUUUUUUUUUCAGAAAUAUAUAAUUUCUUUAAAAGAAUUCUUCAGCACUGAACAUAAGGCAAUAAAAUAAGCUCUUGUCACUUCUCCUGUCCUUCCUUUUGAAAAGAAAAGAUGCAUCUUUGUCUAUGAUUAUGUGUAGAAAUGGUCUUUUGAUUGUUUGCAUUCAGUGUCUGACCAAAUUAAAAAACUCAAAUAUUUGAGAAUGGUUUUUUGAAUCCACCUAUUCACACUUUCAUUUGAACUGAGUGUCCCAAAGUUUAAACUGCUGGGGCUUUUUCCAUUGGAAAAAAAAAAUGCUGUGUGGUUCAGAUUAGAGUAUUGUAAUUGUAGGAACAACUUGAUAGUUUUCCAUCCAAAUGUCAUGACACUUAAAGUAAUAACUGUUAACACAACAAUUUAAGAUCAAAAAUUACUUGAAAUUUCCAGGCUUUAGGUUCAUAGUGCAAAAGCAGAAAGAUUUGAUUCUAUGGUUAUGGACACUCUAAAAAUUUUUUUACAUUAGUAUAUACCUGAAGUUUCACAUAAUUAUAAUUAUUUCUGUUGGCAGAAUUAUUUUUCUACUGCAUUUUCUCUGAUUUUACCUGACAAACUAUGCCAUAUCUUUAAUCCCUUGCUCACAGCUUUUUAUAGAGGUAGAAUGUUGUGAGAACUUAAAGAAUGCAGUUGCAUUUCUCAAAAUACUGCUAAAGAAGAAAGUUCCAGUAAGAUAAGCCACCGCAUCAGGAACUUGAGAUAAACACAAGUGGCAAAACAGGAAGGCCUUAAUUCCACAUCUAACAAAGGUGAUGACUUGCAAGUUGCACACCAGAGUGUGCAGACAAUGGGAACUUGAGGUAAGACUUAUCUGGACCAAAAAAAAAAAAAUUACGGUUCCAAACUGUUGGGAAGGAUACACAUGCCAUCCUAGAUUGUGGGAAUCUCUGCUCUGUGGAUACCUGGGACUUGGGAUGUACAGAAGUGCUUUUGUACAGAAGAAUGACUCUAGGACCCCACCACACAAGACUGGGGUGAAGAAGGACCAGCAGGAUGCCAAAAAAAUCUACGUGAAAUGUAAGCUAGAAUGUUGUACCAGGCACUUCUGCAAGGAGAAGAAAUAAUUUGUGAAGCAUUGCCUGCUUCUGAGUUCCAAAGUCACUGCCACCAUUCCUACGCUCAUCCAUGUCUCCACCAGCUGACUGUAGAGUGAUGUUGAGGCUGUAACUUCCAUGGCAUCUUAACACCAGAAGGGACUAUUUCAAAGAUACAUUUGAAAACUGUGUCUGAAUGUCAGAGUUGCUGAAAUAUGACAAUUUUAAUGAAUAUGACUCAUGCCAACUUGGAAAAAGAAACCAAUAAUGGACAGCUAAGUGAGAGCUUUGUGUACAUAUUUAAAACUGAAACCAUACCAGAUUAUACUGUUUUCUUUUUUAAAUCUGCCUGCAUAUAAACUCUUCCUUCUUUGUCUCUUAAAAUAAUUAAAUAGCAUCCUAUAAUUUGGCCACAUAGGAAUCCUUUUUCCAUCUGGCCUGUACCGUAUGAAAUUUGAAAUACUUCAUGGUUUGAUAAGCUUGCUUUUUUAUUGAAUACACUAAAGUGCUCUAGAAAAAGAUCCUUAUUGGAAUUCGUAAUGUUGCAAAUGAAGGAUAAAUCUAUAGAAAGUGAGAUGGGAGCUUUCAUUUCUUUAUAUCCAUAUUUAAUUGCUUCUGAUCAAGAAAAGAAAUGAUCAUUACUGGGCUAAACUUCUGCUGAUUCCUUCUGAAAGUUUAUGGUUUUCCUGCUCAGAAUUCAUCAUGUGUUGCUCCUUAUAUGGAGCAAGCGGUAUAAAUCUAAGAUAAAUGAAGUGAAAAUUAUUUUAGUUUAAUAAAAAUUUAUGAAAAGGUAAUUUUGCAAAGAAUGUAUAAGAUUUAGAGAUGGAUGAGCAGAAGGACUGCACAAUUAGAUUCUGUUGAAAUUUACUUAAUAAUAAAGGCAAUACAUAUUUAAUCUUCUUGAAGCAAUGGAUUCUUUAACAUGUAGCACUCGAUUCUCAGCUCAGUAAAUUACAUUUUUUUCAGUUUAUUUUUUAUUUUGUUAAAAGCAGUGAAUUUGUUAAAAGGUUGUGAAUAUUUAAAUUUCUCCAUUUGAUCAUAAAGGCUUCAUGGAAAAAAAAUCAAACUGAAUAAGGAAUUUAACAAAUGCUUCUGAAAAGAAUUUUCUUUCUUCUCCCUAGUGCAUGUUUUAUGUACUUAAGUUUUAUAGCUUUCUCACUGAUACCAUUUAAGAGAGUUGCAGUCCAGCAAUGUGUAUGUGUAUGCAUACAUUGCCAAAUAUUGAGUAGAUGUCAUUUUAUCACAAUAAAUUCAAGAUACUAAUUCAAGUUCUUCCUCAGGUACAGGAAACCAAAUGUCUCAGAUCUCAGGAAAAAUUUUCCUAGCAGUUUAAUCUAUCCCAUGUGUGUGCACAAUCUUUGUUGUCUACCUUUUGCUUUUUUCCCAUCUCCAUAGUUUCAUAAGUCAAAAAGAGAAGCAUUCUGGUACUAUUAAAAGUAAAAAUUGUUAAUUGCACUUAGACAAAUCCUAAACUAUGAAUACCAGCAAUUACAAAGAAAAUUCAAGAAAAGUAUUGCUUUGAUCUCUCCAAAUUAAUAAAUGUUGACAUCAUAUUUCCAAUGGAUCCAGUAUUCUUAUUUCAAAUUAUAUCUGCAGCUGAAAGAUCCAAAGUAUGAAUUGCAUUAAUUGUGUGGUAACAUUUUUGUCAAAAUUUUGUUCUUGGUAGAAGUGAUGAGCAGAUGUGGAGGCUGUCAGGAACACGACCCCACGUGGAGACACUGUUGAUUUUCUUUUCCAGGUGUGCUCCUCUAAAGUGUCUUUAUUGCAGGCUGACUUCAUUAUGCUCAGAGGAACAGGUUUUGUCUACAGUCCUGAUUUAGACUACAAUAUAAGGUACACCCAAGCAGCACAAAUUUCAACAUUAACAUACCUUAUUGUUGCUUUUCCUUUAUCCUGACUCUCUUUUUGCCACCUCUCUUUCUAUUCCCCAAUCUCCUCCUAACUGACCUCAAUUACUUCUUCCCUACUGAUCUCUGUUUUGCUGCAUCCUUAUCCCAAUUUUUUAUUUCUGUGACCAUUUCUUAUGUUGUCUCAGACUCAGUGUAGGUCAUUGCUGACGUAGUUACCUUGUCACUGCUUGCCUAUGACAAACUGCCAUCCUGAAGAUCCCACGUUAUCCCUCCAAUUAUCUGUGAAGUUUGACCAUUUUUUGGAUAAUUGUGCCUUAACCAUCUGUGCACCCAUGCACAUGAAUACCUCAUGGUACUCUCUAAUUCAUUUUAGCUUCUCAUACUGUUACCUCUCACAUCCAGCCAUUUCCCAUGCCAUGCCGUUCCAGCUCAGUUAACUUUAUCUCAAGGCACGGUCAUAGCCAACAGCAUAGUCAUGGGUUUGCAGCCCUGACAAGACUCCACACUUUAUGUAAGUUCACAGCUGUUUAAAGCCAAUCAUCAUGUCUAUGGACACUUAAGUACAGACAUAGUAUUUUACUAUACUAUUAACACAGGCAACUAAAGGGACUAAAAUGACAAUGAUAGAAGUACAAUUUUUUAUGGCAGAGAUAAGAGAUAAAUGCCCCUCACUUUUGUGCCUCUCUUCCGAACAUACCUGUGGUCAGUUAACUUUUCCAGUAACAUCACUAAAAGUAUUUGUCAUUGAGAUAUGUCAGAUAACUAUUAGAACCAUCUGGCUUUGAUUCCUUUUCUCAAACACUCUAGCCUUCCAUAAAAGUUUAUUUCUAUGCUAUUACCAUAUUUAUGCAUCAUCAUUUUACGCCAUGUUUUACUUGUUGCUUGUUUCUUUAUUAACUUUCACAUCAUCUUCUCACUGAAAUUACCCAUACUGUAAAAACAUACUUUCACAUCUCUUAUUAGAAAAAAAAAUUCUCUUCUAGACUUCUAGGUUUCAUUUAAAUGAUUCUUACAAAAUUUGAACAAGGAAAAAAGUUACAAAGCUGUGGCUGAGAAUUUUACAGUCCAUUGUAUUUAUGUUUUCUGUAUGAAGAUUUGUCAUCAAGUAUGAGAAUGAAAGAUUUUAGCUUAUUAAAAACUAGUCUACAUUUGUGAACACUGCAAACACAAUAGAAUAUUUCAUUAUGUUAAAAUGUUAUUAAAAGCAAACUGUGAUUUAAGAAGUUAAUUAAAAAAUGCACUCAAAGUCAA